GCAGUGGUAGCUUAGCUGGCCUAAAGCGCCUCCCUGUCACGGAGGAGACCGUGGGUUCGAAUCCCAUCCACUGCGUCA
This 78-nucleotide transfer RNA is filed under the name Candidatus Azambacteria bacterium RIFCSPLOWO2_02_FULL_42_10. RNAcentral's name for it is "tRNA-Asp". It matches the Rfam family "tRNA". From Rfam's summary of the family: Transfer RNA (tRNA) molecules are approximately 80 nucleotides in length. Lineage: Bacteria; Candidatus Azamiibacteriota. RNAcentral also lists the same sequence under 5 other names. The record is from RNAcentral.